AGAAAAAAAGUUGAAAACGCCGGUGGUCGACGUUUCAGAUUCAUUUCCAAAAUUUCCCCCCAUUUCCCAAAUCUUCCCUUCUCCACCGUUCCCUCCCCCACCAACCAACCGACCGCCGCCUACAGACGAACUGCCGCCUACCAACACCGUCCCUCGCCCAACUCUCUCUCUCUCGAACCCAGCAGACUGAGCGUCGCCCACGAGCACUGCGGAUCUCGAUCUCUGACCUGGUCUGACAAGGAGCACCAGAGAGGACCACGAGCACCGCCGAUCUCUGGUCAGUCUCCCUAUUUCUCUCUCUCUCUCUCUCUCUCUCUCUCUCUCUCUCUCUCUCUCUCUCUCUCUCUCUCUCUCUCUCUCUCCGACUCUCUCUCUCUUUCACUCGGAUCCAGCAGACCAACGCAGAUCUCUGACGAGGAGCGCCAGAGCCGGCCUUUUUCUGGACUGCAGAUCUACAAUCAGUGCUAUUCGAUCCCCCUCCUUGUGCGACACCUCCUCUCCCAGUGUCUACAAAAUCUCAGACUGAUUUGGAUGGGGUUGCAAGCUUGUUAAUUUUAUCUAUCAGGGAUUCGGGGUCACUUAGAAGGUUUGAAGCUUAUCUUGUUUUUUAAGUGCAUGAGUGAGGCAACAAUUGAUUCUCACCCAACCAAAACAAAGCACCCAAAGAUCAUGGAAGCCGCUGAAACUGUUGAUGAUAAGAUCAUGGAAGUUGUUGAAACUCUUGACGAUAAGAUCAAAGAAGUUGAUGAAGAGAAGGAUGCAAGAGGAGUUAGAAUAAGAUGAACUUCAUGUACUAAAGAUAUAGAUUGUAUUUUCAAACAUUAUGUAAUCUCUUUUUAAUUGUGUAUGUACAACAGCUUUUUUUAACAA
Alnus glutinosa is the source of this 870-nucleotide long non-coding RNA. RefSeq lists it as uncharacterized. The record is from RefSeq and is a predicted model, not a curated record. The transcript has 2 exons. Lineage: Eukaryota; Viridiplantae; Streptophyta; Magnoliopsida; Fagales; Betulaceae.